Molecule: small nucleolar RNA, 65 nt
Organism: Hibiscus syriacus
Lineage: Eukaryota; Viridiplantae; Streptophyta; Magnoliopsida; Malvales; Malvaceae
Product: small nucleolar RNA U49
Exons: 1
Source: RefSeq, a predicted model, not a curated record
CCCCAAUGAGGAAGACAUCCCAUAGAUAGGAAGUGCCGUAUGACACUUUAAUCAGCAACGGCAGC